Long non-coding RNA from Ictalurus punctatus (channel catfish), 989 nucleotides. RefSeq lists it as uncharacterized. The transcript has 4 exons. The record is from RefSeq and is a predicted model, not a curated record. NCBI's taxonomy places the organism in Eukaryota, Metazoa, Chordata, Actinopteri, Siluriformes, Ictaluridae.
CCGAUUUGACUACAUAUGUCUGUGCGCGCGCGCCGGGGAGACUGACCUAGACACGGUGGCCUCGUCUAUUUCGCUCGAGAAUAUAUAAGUUCUUGCCCAGAAAUCCGCUUCUAGAAAAUCGCCGUUCCCGAGUUUGGCCACACGAGGGCAGUCAAGCUCCAUCUAGCGCAAUACACAACGCCGCCUGAAACUGAAGCUUUCUCAAAGGACAGUGGCGAGGCAUAAAACAGGAGGCUAACGAGCUGCUUGCUAAACUUCGAUCUGAGCAGAGCGCACUGCUACAUCCUUCAUCAGCUCAAGAAAGUGCCACACGGGCCAGCUAUCAGAUUUCCUGUAUUUUACAUCAAGAACAGCUAUGUGCCCAAUCCAUCGGGCUUGUGGAUGUGAUGCGUGACGUCGUCAAAAUUGUGAAUGAUAUACGCUCCAAGGUGCUCUCUCACCUGCAGUUCAAGGUACUGUUGGAUGAGAUGGAUGCACAAUAUGGUGAUGUGUUGUACCACCAGGAGGUUAGAUGGCUGAGCAGAGGAAAAGUUUUCAGGAGAUUUUUUGAUCUGCGUGAUGAGAUCGGAGCUUUUCAGGAAAGCAAGAUUGGUAGUAUUCAAGAGCCCAUAGAUAAGAAAUGGCUUUCUGACCUGGCUUUCCUGGUGGACGUCACAGAGCUGCUCAAUGUUUUAAAUGUUCAGCUCCAGGGAAAAGACCAGAUUAUCACCCAUCUUUUUUAUCACAUCAGAGCCUACAAACAAAAACUACUGCUGCUCAGAAGACAUCUCUCAGCAGGUAACAUUCACAAUUAUAAUAUGCACCAUAAUUUUAUGUGCAGUUAUUGUUAUUAUUAAUACUUAUAUUUAGUUAGCAUUUAUAUCCAGUGGUGUCAGCUUUGGGUUUUUUUGUUAAUCAAGCUGAUAAAUUUUGUGUCAAAGUUCUCUUAAAUUAUCAUGGAUUAAUUUCCUCGUUUUGUCAGUUAUUUAUUCUAUUUGCCUCCCUCUCUC